GCCUAACAUCUAGCCCGCACCACCCGCAUGAACUCCCCCUCCCACACAUACACAACAAAACAUUUUACCUCUUUAGUACAGGCGAUCGAAAAAUUUAUAGGCGCUUCAGAUUAAGUACCGCAAGGGAAAGAUGAAAUAAAAAUGAAAUAACUUUAAAGCCCCAAAUAGCAGAGAUAUACCCUCGUACCUUUUGCAUCAUGGUCUAGCUAGUCUAAUCAAGCAAAAUGUAAACUUUAGUUUGACAUCCCGAAACUAAGUGAGCUACUUCAAAACAGCCUUAGGGGGCCAACCCGUCUCUGUUGCAAAAGAGUGGGAAGAUUUUCAAGUAGAGGUGAUAAGCCUAUCGAACUUAGAGAUAGCUGGUUAUUCAGAAAAAGAGUUUUAGCUCUGCCUUAAGUUUUAGCAUUAACCCAAACAAAUCUCUAAACUUAAGAGUUAUUCAAGUAAGGUUCAGCUUACUUGAAACAGGAUACAACCUCCGAUAUUGGGUAAAUGAGGAAAACCCAGACAAAGUGGGCCUAAAAGCAGCCAUCUUACAAAAAGCGUUAAAGCUUAAUCACUGAUUAUCCGUAAUUCCUUAAUUCCUUAUUAACCCCUCACCUCUACUGAAUCAUUUUAUAACAUUAUAAAAGCUAUUAUGCUAGAACUAGUAACAAGAAAAUGCCUUUCUCCUGAAUGUUAGCCAGAACCGAGAUAAACCCUGUCGGUAUUUAACGUAAAUGCUUUAAUUAUAGUAACACACACCAGAAAACCCUAUUAAUUCCAACGUCAACCUUACACUAGAACAUUACAGGAAAGAUUAAAAGAAAGAGAAGGAACUCGGCAAACCCCAGCCCCGCCUGUUUACCAAAAACAUCGCCUCUUGCUUCCCAUAAGAGGUCCAGCCUGCCCAGUGACAUAGUUCAACGGCCGCGGUAUCCUAACCGUGCGAAGGUAGCAUAAUCACUUGUUCUCUAAAUAAGGACUAGUAUCAACGGCACCACGAGGGCUAUACUGUCUCCUCUUUCCAAUCAGUGAAACUGAUCUCCCCGUGAAGAAGCGGGGAUUAGUAUAUUAGACGAGAAGACCCCAUGGAGCUUAAAAUUCAAUGCACACCUCCUCCCCCCAAAAUCAAUAUAACCAAAGAUAACUGUGCAUAAAUUUUAGGUUGGGGUGACCGCGGAGUAGAACACAACCUCCUCGAUAAAUGGGCCAACGCCCUUAUCUAUGAAUUACUAUUCUAAGAAUCAAUAAUUUGAUAUUUAAUGACCCGAUAACUCGAUCAACGAACCAAGUUACCCUGGGGAUAACAGCGCAAUCUACUUCAAGAGUCCCUAUCGACAAGUAGGCUUACGACCUCGAUGUUGGAUCAGGGUG
RNAcentral lists this ribosomal RNA (1356 nucleotides) under Sanguirana luzonensis (Luzon frog). RNAcentral's name for it is "partial 16S ribosomal RNA". It matches the Rfam family "Bacterial large subunit ribosomal RNA", at positions 267 to 2544 of the family's 2925-position model. The record is from RNAcentral. Lineage: Eukaryota; Metazoa; Chordata; Amphibia; Anura; Ranidae.